ACGGCGAGUGAACCGGGAAAAGCUCAAAUUUGUAAUCUGGCUGUCUUCGAUAGUCCGAGUUGUAAUCUAUAGACGUGUUUUCCGUGCUGGACCGUAUCUAAGUCCCUUGGAACAGGGUAUCAAAGAGGGUGACAAUCCCGUGCUUGAUACGACCACCAGUGCUCUGUGAUACACGCUCUACGAGUCGAGUUGUUUGGGAAUGCAGCUCAAAAUGGGUGGUAAAUUCCAUCUAAAGCUAAAUAUUGGCGAGAGACCGAUAGCGAACAAGUACCGUGAGGGAAAGAUGAAAAGCACUUUGGAAAGAGAGUUAAACAGUACGUGAAAUUGUUGAAAGGGAAACGAUUGAAGUCAGUCGUGUUCUUUGGAUUCAGCUAGUUCUUCUAGUCUACUUCCAUUGAACGGGUCAACAUCAGUUUUGUCCGGUGGAUAAAGAUAGUAGGAAUGUAGCUCCCCCGGGAGUGUUAUAGACUAUUAUUGCAUACACUGGGUGAGACUGAGGACUGCAGCUCGCCUUUUGGCCGGUCUUCGGACACGUUCGAGCU
This 542-nucleotide ribosomal RNA is filed under the name Cutaneotrichosporon dermatis. RNAcentral describes it as "eukaryotic LSU rRNA". It matches the Rfam family "Eukaryotic large subunit ribosomal RNA", at positions 86 to 617 of the family's 3401-position model. Lineage: Eukaryota; Fungi; Basidiomycota; Tremellomycetes; Trichosporonales; Trichosporonaceae. The record is from RNAcentral.